CUAUUCCUCCUAUGUUUACCUCUCCAUGUUCUCUUACUUUGACCGGGAUGAUGUUGCCCUGCGUCACUUUGAGUUCUUCAAGGAGCAGUCUCAUGAGGAACGGGAACACGCUGAGAAACUGAUGGCAUUCCAGAAUAAAUAUGGAGGCUGCAUCGUCCUGCAGGACAUCAAGGCUAGAUUCAGUGUACAUGAGAAUUAGUCUGGCACCUCCUCUAAUGAGAAUUGAUGGUGGGACUCCUCCAAUUGAGGGAAUUGGAAGCAGCCUUCAUUCAGAAAUGAAUCUGGAUAGCAAAAGAUGCAUUUGGGGUAAAAUGUUGCCAUCUACCCUGAUUUAAACUAGGUUCCAUAAUGAACUCAAUGAGGCGUCAUGGCAGAAGCCAGAGCAGGAUGAGUGGGGCAAUGGUCUGGAGGCAAUGCAGAGAGCUCUGCAGAUGAAGGAUUGAACCAGAGUCUGCUGGAUCUGCACAAACUUGCCUCUGGCCACACGGACCCUCAUUUGUGACUUCCUGGAGAGGCACUACUUGGAUGAGCAAGUGAAGAUGAUCAAGAAGCUGGGAGAUCACAUCACCAACCUGAAGAGACUGGGAGCCCCUGAGAAUGGCAUGGGAGAGUACCUGUUUGACAGGCUCACGCUGAGCUGAAUGGGAGUUUUGGACAAAAUUGUGAAUGACUUGUUGCUAAUUCUGUCUUGAUCUGCUGUGGAAACAAAGUAUUUGACAACUAGUGUUUGUCUAUUUCUGUAGUGAUUUGUGUUAAAAGCUGUUUUCUGCCAUGUGAUUUUACUUCUCUCCAAUGAUUGAAAUAUGGAGAAGACCAUCACCUUGCAUAUAACUAGUUGUUGCUAAAUGUAGCUGUGCUCAUCUUCCCCCAGCCUCACUUGAGGUUAUGCUAGUUGCAUAAAAUGUAGCACAUCUGAAACUUCCAGUUUACUGGGGGAAAAACUUACCAGGUGUGGCUGCAUUUAGGAAGAGAAAGCAGACUCUACACGAUGAGUCCACUGACUCAUCCUUGGAACAACUGUCAAACUGUAAUAAUCAAUCAUUGCAAGUGUCUCCAAUGUUAGCCUACAGUGGCUAGAGCUCUAAACCAAAUAGGACUAAAGGGAUUUUUGUUCCUUUUUUUUUUUGUAAACUAAUACUGGGGUAAGCUAUUCAAUCAUUUGAGUUUAUUCUAAUUGAUUGGAUCAGCCAUGAUUUAGGUUUUUGUUUUCAAGUUGCAUCCUAGUUCAUGCCUUCCCAAUGACAUUCUCAUUAAGAAGAAUGGAUCUACCUCUGCCUUGUAUGGGAGUGCUGCUUCUGAUUCUUAACUUUGUUUUUUUUUUGUGCCACUUAGUUUUAACUCGUAUUGUCAUCUCCAUCUCCUCCCCAGCAGAAGAUGCAAGCAUUCUCCAUCAAUUCCA
Rhincodon typus (whale shark) is the source of this 1399-nucleotide long non-coding RNA. RefSeq lists it as uncharacterized. The transcript has 4 exons. NCBI's taxonomy places the organism in Eukaryota, Metazoa, Chordata, Chondrichthyes, Orectolobiformes, Rhincodontidae. The record is from RefSeq and is a predicted model, not a curated record.